GACGAACGCUGGCGGCGUGCCUAAUACAUGCAAGUAGAACGCUGAAGGAGGAGCUUGCUUCUCUGGAUGAGUUGCGAACGGGUGAGUAACGCGUAGGUAACCUGCCUGGUAGCGGGGGAUAACUAUUGGAAACGAUAGCUAAUACCGCAUAACAGUAGAUAUCGCAUGAUAGCUGCUUGAAAGGUGCAAUUGCACCACUACCAGAUGGACCUGCGUUGUAUUAGCUAGUUGGUGGGGUAACGGCUCACCAAGGCAACGAUACAUAGCCGACCUGAGAGGGUGAUCGGCCACACUGGGACUGAGACACGGCCCAGACUCCUACGGGAGGCAGCAGUAGGGAAUCUUCGGCAAUGGACGGAAGUCUGACCGAGCAACGCCGCGUGAGUGAAGAAGGUUUUCGGAUCGUAAAGCUCUGUUGUAAGUCAAGAACGAGUGUGAGAGUGGAAAGUUCACACUGUGACGGUAGCUUACCAGAAAGGGACGGCUAACUACGUGCCAGCAGCCGCGGUAAUACGUAGGUCCCGAGCGUUGUCCGGAUUUAUUGGGCGUAAAGCGAGCGCAGGCGGUUUGAUAAGUCUGAAGUUAAAGGCUGUGGCUCAACCAUAGUUCGCUUUGGAAACUGUCAAACUUGAGUGCAGAAGGGGAGAGUGGAAUUCCAUGUGUAGCGGUGAAAUGCGUAGAUAUAUGGAGGAACACCGGUGGCGAAAGCGGCUCUCUGGUCUGUAACUGACGCUGAGGCUCGAAAGCGUGGGGAGCAAACAGG
This 763-nucleotide ribosomal RNA is filed under the name uncultured Streptococcus sp. RNAcentral's name for it is "bacterial SSU rRNA". It matches the Rfam family "Bacterial small subunit ribosomal RNA", at positions 28 to 776 of the family's 1533-position model. Lineage: Bacteria; Bacillati; Bacillota; Bacilli; Lactobacillales; Streptococcaceae. The record is from RNAcentral.